GUAGCUGUUUAGAACAGUUUCAAACACUCCAUUAUCGUUCAAUGUUUGAUUAUCAUUUACAGUAUAUUUGCAAAUACGGUGUGUGCGUGCGCGCGUGUGUGUAUGUGUGUAUGCGUCUUUGAAGGUGUUUUACCUGAAUUGUUGUCUGAGGACUAAAAAGUCAGUCACCCUCAGUAGCUCUUUGUAAGAACAUAUUCACUGUUCACUGCUCAUUCAUGCUGGUAUAAUGACUUUGACAUGCUCUGACUGAGUUUAUUUUACUUGCACAACUUCCAGCUGGCGGUAACAGUUCAGUCCAUUUACCAAACAGCUUUGACUAUCAGCUUUUCUAUGUUGUGAGCUUUCUAUGUUUCUGUGCGUGUUCAGUUUGCUUUCUGUUGCAACCAAAGACAACCACAUUCAGUAAUUAACCAUAGAAGCUCUCUAUGUACAAACAUGAGGAACACACCCUCUCCACCCCCAAACUGUAACCCCUCUAACUGUAACCUCUGACCCUUCCUCCCUACCCACCCUUUACCCUGCCCCUUCAUCCUUAUCCAACAGUAACCCCUGCCCCUUAACCCUGCCCCUUCCUCCCUAUCCUACAGUAACCCCUGCCCCUUAACCCUGCCCCUUCCUCCCUACCCAACAGUAACCUCUGACCCUAAACCUUCCUGCCUACCCCACUGUAACUCUUAGUAAACUUGCUACUGUAGAUGGACUCUAUUUAGCUCCUACUGCCAGAGCUAACGGCUGUUCUCCCAUGGGAAAUAUGGACGAGACUGUAGUAAAUGUAUUAGCAGGGCUGCUCAUUCCUAGUCCUUGAGGGAGGCAGCGUAGGCAGCCUUUAGAUCCAUCACAAAACUACCACACUGCAUUCAGCUAACCAAGGUCUUCAUGAUGGGUUAGUUUAACCAGUCAAGGUAUAGUUGGGCUGUAACAUAAACCUGCACAAACUGUGAUCCAGCAGGACUGGUGUUUACUGCCUGCUACGGACGGAACACCAGGACUCCCACAGAUGUCACACACUCACAGAUAAAUCUACAAAGCAGUGUCUGAUGGGAAGUAUGCUCAGUUUGUCUCUGGCAUUGUGAACUGUUAACUUGUGUGUGAGUAUCCGUUUGGUGAAGAGUGACUGCUUUAUGUUGAAAUACUUAACUUAUUUAUAAAGGUAGUGUCUGGUAGAGGAAGGUGCGC
Molecule: long non-coding RNA, 1176 nt
Organism: Esox lucius (northern pike)
Lineage: Eukaryota; Metazoa; Chordata; Actinopteri; Esociformes; Esocidae
Source: Ensembl